GGAGAAGUACCCAAGAGGCUGAAGGGGACGCACUCGAAAUGCGUUAGGGGUUAACAGCCCGCGUGGGUUCAAAUCCCACCUUCUCCGCCA
Molecule: transfer RNA, 90 nt
Filed under: Heyndrickxia sporothermodurans
Lineage: Bacteria; Bacillati; Bacillota; Bacilli; Caryophanales; Bacillaceae
Also listed under: 1 other name
Description: tRNA-Ser
Rfam family: tRNA
About the family: Transfer RNA (tRNA) molecules are approximately 80 nucleotides in length. Their secondary structure includes four short double-helical elements and three loops (D, anti-codon, and T loops). Further hydrogen bonds mediate the characteristic L-shaped molecular structure. tRNAs have two regions of fundamental functional importance: the anti-codon, which is responsible for specific mRNA codon recognition, and the 3' end, to which the tRNAs corresponding amino acid is attached (by aminoacyl-tRNA synthetases). tRNAs cope with the degeneracy of the genetic code in two manners: having more than one tRNA (with a specific anti-codon) for a particular amino acid; and 'wobble' base-pairing, i.e. permitting non-standard base-pairing at the 3rd anti-codon position.
Source: RNAcentral